AUUGAACGCUGGCGGCAGGCCUAACACAUGCAAGUCGAAUGGUAACAGGAAACAGCUUGCUGUUUCGCUGACGAGUGGCGGACGGGUGAGUAAUGUCUGGGAAACUGCCUGAUGGAGGGGGAUAACUACUGGAAACGGUAGCUAAUACCGCAUAACGUCGCAAGACCAAAGAGGGGGACCUUCGGGCCUCUUGCCAUCAGAUGUGCCCAGAUGGGAUUAGCUAGUAGGUGGGGUAACGGCUCACCUAGGCGACGAUCCCUAGCUGGUCUGAGAGGAUGACCAGCCACACUGGAACUGAGACACGGUCCAGACUCCUACGGGAGGCAGCAGUGGGGAAUAUUGCACAAUGGGCGCAAGCCUGAUGCAGCCAUGCCGCGUGUAUGAAGAAGGCCUUCGGGUGGUAAAGUACUUUCAGCGGGGAGGAAGGGAGUAAAGUUAAUACCUUUGCUCAUUGACGUUACCCGCAGAAGAAGCACCGGCUAACUCCGUG
RNAcentral lists this ribosomal RNA (490 nucleotides) under uncultured bacterium. Its description in RNAcentral is "partial 16S ribosomal RNA". It matches the Rfam family "Bacterial small subunit ribosomal RNA", at positions 30 to 507 of the family's 1533-position model. The record is from RNAcentral.